Molecule: ribosomal RNA, 250 nt
Filed under: uncultured prokaryote
Description: partial 16S ribosomal RNA
Rfam family: Bacterial small subunit ribosomal RNA
Source: RNAcentral
UACAUAGGUAGCGAGCGUUAUCCGGAAUAACUGGGCGUAAAGGGAGUGUAGGUGGCGUGAUAAGUCUAUUGUGAAGGCCCACGGCUUAACUAUGGGAUUGCAGUAGAAACUGUUUUGCUAGAGUGCGAGAGAGGCAAGUGGAGUUCCUAGUGUAGCGGUAGAAUGCGUAGAGAUUAGGAGGAACACCAGAGGCGAAGGCGACUUGCUGGCUCGUAACUGACACUGAGACUCGAAAGCGUGGGGAGCAAAC